Molecule: long non-coding RNA, 327 nt
Organism: Pocillopora damicornis (cauliflower coral)
Lineage: Eukaryota; Metazoa; Cnidaria; Anthozoa; Scleractinia; Pocilloporidae
Source: RefSeq, a predicted model, not a curated record
UGUGGCCACCCUGUGCCGUCUGGGCGGCUGGUCGGAAAAAAGUGGAACAUGGUCGUUGUAUGUUAAGGAUGUUUUUGAAAAACAUCUGGACACAAGUUCAUCCCUCUAUCGCGACCUCCGUCCAGACAACAGGACAACCUAACUGGAAGGCAUAAAAUCAGCAUACAAUUACAGGGUAGAAAAAAACCUCCAAACAAUGGAGAAUUGCCAUGCCAUAGAGGGCUUUGCAGGGUACCUGCAAGAUUUCAGAGACACUAGUCUCAACAUUUCGAUCGGGGAUGCUGAGAAAGAACUUGAAAAAAUGAAAAAAGGGGAAAGCGAUGAAUU